GACGAACGCUGGCGGCGUGCUUAACACAUGCAAGUCGAACGGUGAAGCCCUUCUGGUUUGAUCAGUUGCGAACGGGUGCGUAACACGUGCGCAACCUGCCCCUGGCUCUGGGACAACCACUGGAAACGGUGGCUAAUACCGGAUACGACCCGCCUCGGCAUCGAGUGUGGGUGGAAAGUUUUUCGGCUGGGGAUGGGCUCGCGGCCGAUCAGCUUGUUGGUGAGGUUGAGGCUCACCAAGGCGACGACGGGUAGCCGGCCUGAGAGGGCGACCGGCCACACUGGGACUGAGACACGGCCCAGACUCCUACGGGAGGCAGCAGUGGGGAAUAUUGCACAAUGGGCGGAAGCCUGAUGCAGCGACGCCGCGUGCGGGAUGACGGCCUUCGGGUUGUAAACCGCUUUCACCUCCGAAGAAGCGAAAGUGACGGUAAGGGGAGAAGAAGCACCGGCUAACUACGUG
This 462-nucleotide ribosomal RNA is filed under the name uncultured bacterium. RNAcentral describes it as "partial 16S ribosomal RNA". It matches the Rfam family "Bacterial small subunit ribosomal RNA", at positions 28 to 507 of the family's 1533-position model. The record is from RNAcentral.